CCUUUCUCUCUCCUAUUUUUUAAUCUGAUACAAUUAGUAUUGGGCUAGUCCAAUUAGAGAAUUAUACUAUAAAUAGGAAUAUGAUGUAAUAAUGGAGGGAGGCAUGGUGUAAUUGGAAACUCUACUUUCUCUCUUUGGCCCUAAUUCUAGGGAUUUCUCUUCUAUUCUCUCUGAUUAUCUCUAAUUCUCUCUAGUGCUUGAUACAAAUUCGUAUCAAAUGGUGCUUUCAUUGAACACCAUGCCAAAUUCCU
This is a non-coding RNA of Arachis ipaensis, 251 nucleotides long. The record is from RefSeq and is a predicted model, not a curated record. Lineage: Eukaryota; Viridiplantae; Streptophyta; Magnoliopsida; Fabales; Fabaceae.